GCCUUCGUGGUGUAGUGGUCAGCAUGCUCGGCGCGUAUUUAAGAGGUCCGAGGUUCAAAUCCCGUCGAGGGCA
This 73-nucleotide transfer RNA is filed under the name Stegodyphus mimosarum. It matches the Rfam family "tRNA". From Rfam's summary of the family: Transfer RNA (tRNA) molecules are approximately 80 nucleotides in length. Their secondary structure includes four short double-helical elements and three loops (D, anti-codon, and T loops). Lineage: Eukaryota; Metazoa; Arthropoda; Arachnida; Araneae; Eresidae. The record is from Rfam by way of RNAcentral.